RNAcentral lists this small RNA (129 nucleotides) under Arabidopsis thaliana (thale cress). RNAcentral's name for it is "ATSL110930". The record is from RNAcentral. Lineage: Eukaryota; Viridiplantae; Streptophyta; Magnoliopsida; Brassicales; Brassicaceae.
UAAUUAAAACUAAUUAGGGGUGUUAAUUGUAAUUACACAAUAACUGAAAACAUCUGAGUAAUAAAAAAAAGAUGUGUUCUACUGUAGGAAUAAACAUACAAAUGUGUUCUAUCUUAGGAAUUAGUUCAA